Molecule: non-coding RNA, 779 nt
Organism: Paramisgurnus dabryanus
Lineage: Eukaryota; Metazoa; Chordata; Actinopteri; Cypriniformes; Cobitidae
Source: RefSeq, a predicted model, not a curated record
GUCAGUUAUGACACGUCACUGGCUUUAAAAUAUAAACCCCAUUGAUGCAAAAAGAUGCUGCAUGGAAUGACAAUGAGGUUUGGAACAGACUUGGUGAAGAAGAUGGAAACAUCUCUAAAUAAAAUGGCCCCAACCAUCAUCAGGAGUGCAAAAGAAUGAAGUAAAAAACAUCUCUACGCCAAUCUCAUUGGAACAGCAGCGGAAACCACAGAAGGUCUGGAGAGGAAUGCUGCACUUAUGUUAUUGCAAGCAUUAUUUUAAGAAAAUCCCAGCUUCCUUUACUGUGUAAAUAGUGAACCCAAAGGUCCCACACCAACCAUAGUGUUCAACGGCUCUCCUGAUCCUCUCAAAGCUGAAAGUAUCAACUUUAUAAUGGACAAUGUGAACAUAAUAUGUGGAAGACAUUGACAUCACAGGCUGUGGAAUGACUGAUUGCGGGGGUUUUUCUCUUCAAUGUUCAAUACCCUUUUGCCAUUAAGCACACAGUGACUUUAAUUUAUAAAAUGUAUGCUUAAAUUUAAAUACCUGUACAAAACAAAUGUACAAUCAACUUGUGUAAAUUGUCAUUCUAUUUAAUAGAUUGUUCAUGAAUUGUCUUUAAAUGCAUUGUGAUUUCUUUUCAUCAUUUCAGACACAUGUAAAAGUUACUAAAAAUUAGUACUGCAUAUACUGUACAGUAUCUUUGUUUAUAAAAACAGAAAAUGCGUAAGGGAAAUAACUUGAACAAAAUUUUUGAAUGAAUAGUGUAAUUAAGAGUUUAGCUGUUUAAUACAGAGAUG